AUGGCCUGCAAACCAAGGCAUCAGUAAUACAAAGGGAACGUUUAACAUGGAUAUUUGACUCAAAGUGUCACACUAAACUAUGACGCUAGAUAAGUUAUCCAAGUGGCAUAACGUAUUACGAUUCGCAAACAAGUGAAUGACUGUGGAAACACAUUUCGUCUUUAUUUCGUCUUUAAACUAUGUCAGCGCAAUUAGAUAAGCUAUCUGCCUGAAAUGUACUUCAGGUGAAAACGUUGGCGUUCUAAAGGAAGGCGUUCAUUUCUGAAAUGAAGACCAUAUUGUCCAUUUUGGCAUGUUGUGUUUUAUUUGCCUUUAUACACGUGGAAGCUGCAACAGAUAUGGAUUCUCAAUCAUUGCUUGCCAGGCUCUCUGUGCUUGAAGUAAAACAAGCGUUUUCCGAGAAAUUAAUCGCAGCGCGUGAAACGGAAAAUAAGAUGUCAAAGAAAAUAAUAUAAGACAUUGUCCGACAGAAGAUUCGCUUCGCUUGAAAGAACAAAUGUAUUAUGUAACAGACGAAAAGUUGAACUUGAUAGUAUAAAGGAACUUCAUGCAAAACAAGUCACGACAUUGACAACAUAUUGCCUGACAAAACCAAUACAACGAAUGGAUGCAACAAUACCAUGUCUGACAAAAAAGUCGCUUCGAUUGUUAAGGAAAGAAUACUGUCUAACUGGAAAAGCGCCACGCCUGAGAACGACAAUGCAGUAUCAUCCGACCGGAGUGGCAAAGAUGAAAGAUACACGGCUUUUGGUGAAAUUGCAGAUCGGCCAAUUUCUGUACUUCAAUCCAAACACAGACGAUUGGUUGCAGAAGGGAUUGUAGCAUUUUCUGCAAUGUAAAUAGCUAACCAAGAGCAUAUUGGCCUUAAUCAAAACAUCAUCUUUGAGAAUGUACUGACGAAUGAAGGAGGUGGGUUCCAUGCAAAUCACGGUGUUUUGAUUGUUCCACAGUCCGGCUUGUAUAUGAUCUCCUCGAGCAUUAUGUGUGCCGAGAAUGGGGAGGUUCGGGCUACCAUGGUUCAUAACGGAAACCUCGUUGCGCGCGUGUAUUGUCAUGGGGACGGUGGAAAAUACGAUCAAGGCAGUCAGACGGUUGUCAUACAGCUGAACGCUGGAGAUGAAGUCGCGGUUCAAAGUGGUGAAUUUGUAGAUGAUAAGGUCUGGCGAUUUGUGUAUUCGUCAUUCAGUGGUUACUUAGUAUGGCCGCAAUAAACAAAGGGUUACCGUUAUAGGAUACCAACUAUAUACGUAUUCAUUGACCCAUGCAAAUAAAACAAGCUAUGCAAA
Dreissena polymorpha is the source of this 1286-nucleotide long non-coding RNA. RefSeq lists it as uncharacterized. The transcript has 2 exons. Lineage: Eukaryota; Metazoa; Mollusca; Bivalvia; Myida; Dreissenidae. The record is from RefSeq and is a predicted model, not a curated record.